Molecule: ribosomal RNA, 404 nt
Filed under: uncultured Pseudomonadota bacterium
Lineage: Bacteria; Pseudomonadati; Pseudomonadota
Description: bacterial SSU rRNA
Rfam family: Bacterial small subunit ribosomal RNA
Source: RNAcentral
GGUCGACGAUUCGCGUGUAGCAGUGAAAUGCGUAGAGAUGUGGAGGAAUACCGAUGGCGAAGGCAGCCCCCUGGGAUAACACUGACGCUCAUGCACGAAAGCGUGGGGAGCAAACAGGAUUAGAUACCCUGGUAGUCCACGCCCUAAACGAUGUCAACUAGUUGUUGGGGAUUCAUUUCCUUAGUAACGUAGCUAACGCGUGAAGUUGACCGCCUGGGGAGUACGGUCGCAAGAUUAAAACUCAAAGGAAUUGACGGGGACCCGCACAAGCGGUGGACGAUGUGGAUUAAUUCGAUGCAACGCGAAAAACCUUACCUACCCUUGACAUGCCACUAACGAAGCAGAGAUGCAUUAGGUGCUCGAAAGAGAAAGUGAACACAGGUGCUGCAUGGCUGUCGUCAGCU